UACGUAGGGAGCGCGCGUUGUCCGGAUUCAUUGGGCGUAAAGAGCUCGUAGGCGGCUUGGUAAGUCGGAUGUGAAACCUCCAGGCUCAACCUGGAGUCGCCAUCCGAUACUGCCAUGGCUAGAGUCCGGUAGGGGCCCACGGAAUUCCUGGUGUAGCGGUGAAAUGCGCAGAUAUCAGGAGGAACACCGAUGGCGAAGGCAGUGGGCUGGGCCGGCACUGACGCUGAGGAGCGAAAGCGUGGGGAGCGAACAGG
RNAcentral lists this ribosomal RNA (254 nucleotides) under uncultured bacterium. RNAcentral describes it as "partial 16S ribosomal RNA". It matches the Rfam family "Bacterial small subunit ribosomal RNA", at positions 524 to 776 of the family's 1533-position model. The record is from RNAcentral.